CGUAGGGCAAGCGUUGUCCGGAUUUAUUGGGCGUAAAGGGCACGCAGGCGGUCUUCUAAGUCAGAUGUGUAAGGUCUCGGCUCAACCGAGAAGUUGCAUCUGAAACUGGGGGACGUUGAGUGCAGGAGAGGAGAGUGGAAAUUCUCGGUGUAGUCGGUGGAAUGCGUAGAGAUCGGGAGGAACACCAGUGGCGAAGGCGACUCUCUGGCCUGUAACUGACGCUGAGGUGCGAAAGCGUGGGAGCGAACAGGAUU
Molecule: ribosomal RNA, 254 nt
Filed under: uncultured bacterium
Lineage: Bacteria
Description: partial 16S ribosomal RNA
Rfam family: Bacterial small subunit ribosomal RNA
Source: RNAcentral